RNAcentral lists this ribosomal RNA (715 nucleotides) under Acinetobacter sp. RNAcentral's name for it is "bacterial SSU rRNA". It matches the Rfam family "Bacterial small subunit ribosomal RNA", at positions 17 to 726 of the family's 1533-position model. Lineage: Bacteria; Pseudomonadati; Pseudomonadota; Gammaproteobacteria; Moraxellales; Moraxellaceae. The record is from RNAcentral.
UCAUGGCUCAGAUUGAACGCUGGCGGCAGGCUUAACACAUGCAAGUCGAGCGGGGAAAAGUAGCUUGCUACUUUACCUAGCGGCGGACGGGUGAGUAAUGCUUAGGAAUCUGCCUAUUAGUGGGGGACAACAUUUCGAAAGGAAUGCUAAUACCGCAUACGUCCUACGGGAGAAAGCAGGGGACCUUCGGGCCUUGCGCUAAUAGAUGAGCCUAAGUCGGAUUAGCUAGUUGGUGGGGUAAAGGCCUACCAAGGCGACGAUCUGUAGCGGGUCUGAGAGGAUGAUCCGCCACACUGGGACUGAGACACGGCCCAGACUCCUACGGGAGGCAGCAGUGGGGAAUAUUGGACAAUGGGGGCAACCCUGAUCCAGCCAUGCCGCGUGUGUGAAGAAGGCCUUUUGGUUGUAAAGCACUUUAAGCGAGGAGGAGGCUCCCAGUAUUAAUACUACUGGAGAGUGGACGUUACUCGCAGAAUAAGCACCGGCUAACUCUGUGCCAGCAGCCGCGGUAAUACAGAGGGUGCAAGCGUUAAUCGGAUUUACUGGGCGUAAAGCGUGCGUAGGUGGCCAAUUAAGUCAAAUGUGAAAUCCCCGAGCUUAACUUGGGAAUUGCAUUCGAUACUGGUUGGCUAGAGUAUGGGAGAGGAUGGUAGAAUUCCAGGUGUAGCGGUGAAAUGCGUAGAGAUCUGGAGGAAUACCGAUGGCGAAGGCAGCC